CAGUCGCCACGGUGAGACAGAGGAUGCAAGAGUUAUUCGGAAUGAUUGGCGUAAAGCGUCUGUAGGUGGCUUUUCAAGUCUGCCGUCAAAUCCCAGGGCUCAACCCUGGACAGGCGAUGGAAACUACCAAGCUGGAUUACGGUAGGGGCAGAGGGAAUGUCCGGUGGAGCGGUGAAAUGCGUUGAGAUCGGAAAGAACACCAACGACGAAAGCGUUCUGUUGGGCCGAAACUGACACUGAGAGACGAAAGCUAGGGGAGCAAAUGGGAUUAGAUACCCCGGUGUCCCUGUCUCUUAUACAC
Molecule: ribosomal RNA, 301 nt
Filed under: uncultured bacterium
Lineage: Bacteria
Description: partial 16S ribosomal RNA
Rfam family: Bacterial small subunit ribosomal RNA
Source: RNAcentral